RNAcentral lists this transfer RNA (75 nucleotides) under Acidobacteriota bacterium. RNAcentral's name for it is "tRNA-Ile". It matches the Rfam family "tRNA". Rfam says of the family: Transfer RNA (tRNA) molecules are approximately 80 nucleotides in length. Their secondary structure includes four short double-helical elements and three loops (D, anti-codon, and T loops). The record is from RNAcentral. RNAcentral also lists the same sequence under 2 other names. Lineage: Bacteria; Pseudomonadati; Acidobacteriota.
GCCCCCGUAGCUCAAUUGGUUAGAGCGGCAGACUCAUAAUCUGACGGUUUGCAGGUUCAAGUCCUGCCGGGGGCA